Molecule: long non-coding RNA, 278 nt
Organism: Oenanthe melanoleuca
Lineage: Eukaryota; Metazoa; Chordata; Aves; Passeriformes; Muscicapidae
Exons: 3
Source: RefSeq, a predicted model, not a curated record
CUGCACCCCCGAGGCUGUCCGGGCAGAUGCUUCCAGCAUGGAUUGCUGAAGUGCCUGUGGCAGCAUUGGAGGGUCUCCAACUGUCCCACGGCCAUUCCCAGGCUUCGGAGCAGAAAGUUGGCUGCAGUCGGUGCCGCCGAGCACACCUGAGGCACUUCGGUGGAAAACCGAGCCAGGAGCUCAGCUGCAGGCAGGAAGAAGCACCCACGGCACCCAGAGAACAGCACGCUGGGGGGACACGGGGACACGGUGACAUCAGGGACGCUGGGCGCAUGAGG